Oreochromis aureus is the source of this 1353-nucleotide long non-coding RNA. The record is from Ensembl. Lineage: Eukaryota; Metazoa; Chordata; Actinopteri; Cichliformes; Cichlidae.
UCUCUAAUUUAUUUAAUAUGUGUUUGUGUGAAUCAUUCUGUUCAUUCAGGGCAUGGUCUUCAUCCCAACUAUGUGUCAUUGUUAAUACCAGUUUACAGGUUGUUAUCCUUGCUAUCAUCAACUUGAAUACAUUACAGUUAAGUUCUAAAUCAAUUUAGCCUUUUGUUUAUUUUACUUUAUUCCUCUUGUAUCUAUAUGUAUUCAGUCGGGUCUGUUUCCAGCCCUUUUUAAACUUCUACUUUGAUCUUGAAUUUUUCACUUGGUGAGGGAUUAUUAUGUUCUUCCUGAUCUGAACUAUUCUCUUCACCUGGGCUGCUAUCCUGUUCUGAGUCACUGUCUUCUUUGUUUGUUAAUGCUUUUACUCUUUUUUGCCUGUCGUCCUCUCCAUUCCUCUCCCUUUCUUUUGGAUUACUCCUGCUCCGGUUUGUUGUUUUUCUAACCAUCCCUCAUCAGGUGUUAAUUUUGCUUGUUUAUUCCCCAUUUUCAAAGAUUUUGCUGGGCCUUCACUGACACGCUUGACUUCAGAGUGGUUUACUGAUACAGCCUUCGACUUGACCCUAAAGGUCAAGCGGUAUCAGUUUUAUGAGACGAAGCUCAACUGUUCUCCUCUGUCACCAACGUCUCACUGGUGGUUCGGAUCGCCAGACUGAAUCCCACCGCCGUGGACCAGACUAAAAACACCGGCCUGGACCCGAAUUUUAGAGUCCCAGGUCUUUCGGCUUCGUCUAAGAGGGCUGUGCACAGACUUCGGUGCUGGCUUCCCACGGCGUCAGGAAUCAGUGCUGGAUCCUGGAACAGAGUCACAGAUAACAGUUCUGAUGUUUCUGCCCCAGCUUCGAAGGACCAAAAUAAAUGUCAAGAGAUUUAUUCUAAAGACACUUCUUCAGCUAAGAGUCUAAGAGGAGAAACACACACAGACGCUGCAGCAUUUACUUGUAUACAAGGGCGAUCACAGAACGCUCACACCAGAGUGGGGGCCCUGUGAUGCGCGCUCUGUUCUUGCACGUGUCUUUAUUUAUACAUAAGAAAAAUGAAUACAUUUGACGUGAGCAUGUGCGUAUGUGUGUGUGUGUGUGUGUGUGUGUGUGUGUGUGUGUGUGUGUGUGCGUAUGUGUGUGUGUGCGUGUGUGUGUGUGUGUGUGUGUGGGAGGUCAGAACUGCUUGUUUGACUUCUUCCUAUCGCUGUGAGAAGACUCAGAUACAAAUAUCAGAACGUUUUAUAAAGAACAAUCAGUCCUGAACAAUGAAAAGAACAACCAGUUCUAAGCAAGGAAAUGAUCAUCAUGCAGCAUUCUAUCACAAGCAAACUUAUAUCAUUAAAAGCUUAUACUGACUAAAACAUACAAUUUUCUA